Molecule: ribosomal RNA, 329 nt
Filed under: uncultured eukaryote
Lineage: Eukaryota
Description: partial 18S ribosomal RNA
Rfam family: Eukaryotic small subunit ribosomal RNA
Source: RNAcentral
CCCUUAGAUGUUCUGGGCCGCACGCGCGCUACAAUGAUGAAUUCAACGAGUUUAUAACCUUGGUUGAAAAGCCUGGGUAAUCUUUUGAACUUUCGUCGUGAUGGGGCUAGACCCUUGCAAUUAUUGGUCUCCAACGAGGAAUUCCUAGUAAACGCAAGUCAUCAGCUUGCAUUGAUUACGUCCCUGCCCUUUGUACACACCGCCCGUCGCACCUACCGAUUGAAUGGUCCGGUGAAAUCUUCGGAUUGAGUCUUUGAUUUCUUCACGGAAAACGCUGUUUUAAAAAGUUGAUUAAACCUUACCAUUUAGAGGAAGGUGAAGUCGUAACA